Molecule: ribosomal RNA, 507 nt
Filed under: uncultured bacterium
Lineage: Bacteria
Description: bacterial SSU rRNA
Rfam family: Bacterial small subunit ribosomal RNA
Source: RNAcentral
AGAGUUUGAUCAUGGCUCAGGACGAACGCUGGCGGCGCGCUUAACACAUGCAAGUCGAGCGAUAACCAUGGCUUCGGCCAUGGGGAGAGCGGCGAACGGGUGAGUAACACGUGGGUAAUCUGUCCUCGACACUGGGAUAGCCCGGGGAAACCCGGAUUAAUACCGGAUAGCCUCUCGAGCUUACGAGCUCUUGAGAAAAGAUGGCUUAGGCUUUCGGUUGAGGAGGAGCCUGCGGCGGAUUAGCUUGUUGGCGGGGUAACGGCCCACCAAGGCGACGAUCCGUAGCUGGUCUGAGAGGACGAUCAGCCACACUGGGACUGAGACACGGCCCAGACUCCUACGGGAGGCAGCAGUGGGGAAUCUUGGACAAUGGGCGCAAGCCUGAUCCAGCCAUGCCGCGUGGGUGAUGAAGGCCCUAGGGUUGUAAAGCCCUUUCGGCGGGGAAGAUAAUGACGGUACCCGCAGAAGAAGCCCCGGCUAACUUCGUGCCAGCAGCGGCGGUAAUUC